This 763-nucleotide unclassified non-coding RNA is filed under the name Hevea brasiliensis (rubber tree). The record is from RNAcentral. Lineage: Eukaryota; Viridiplantae; Streptophyta; Magnoliopsida; Malpighiales; Euphorbiaceae.
AAAAGUUAUUAAGGUAAUUUUCUGUUUAAUAGAGCAGAUUGGAGAUUUGUUUAAUGAUGAAUUAGUUGAAUAUACAUUUCCAAGAAAAGAAAAUGUUGAAAUGAUUAAAAUUAAAUAAAAAUCUACAAGUUGCAUUAAUUUCAUUGUAAGUAGCAAUUAAAGAUUGAGUUGCAUUUUAUAGGAAGAAGUGAAGUAGCAGUUAAUUAAAUUUGGAAGUAAAAAAAAUGCCAUGAGCUAAUUACUAAGAUGGGUCCAUAGCUAAAUUUCUGUUCUUGAUUUUGAUCAUGGCGGCCAUGGAUAAGCUUCAGAUUGCGAUACAAGAAGCAGAGGUUCUUUACACAGUGAGCAACUGGUGUUUCUACUCUACCUUCGAACUUUUAACGGAAAGCUUGACGCUGAUGCGCUGCGACCGGAGAAGCUGGAAGAGAAGAAACAAGAGUUGGCAAGGGAGAGAGCAAGGGCUGCAAAUCGAGAUAUCAAGGUUGUGCUAGAGAGGUGGAGUUUGAGGUUAUGGCGCAACUAGGAAGAAUCUUGUCGAAAAGUAUGAAGGGAUUGAAGAAGGGGAAUGUUAAAGGAGGAGGAGGGGUUUGUCAAGAGGAGAUGGAUAUGGUAGAGGAAGGUAGAGCUGAAGAGCCAUGGAGUGUAUGCAUAGGUAACAUGUGGUACAGUGGCUGAAGAGGAAGAAGAAGAUUUGUCCUUUGUGCCGACACAAGAUGCAAAUCCGGGAGGACAUUUGAUUUUGAUGAUUUUUAAAUUAAGUUCA